AGGAAUCACCAUAAAGAAUUCAUUCACGAAUAAAUAUUUUUAAUUACGUUUGUGGUUAUGUACUGCCUUGGAAGGAACACCUAGUAUUUAUGUGACUCUCAAAACAAACACCGAAGCUGAAGAGGCGAGGCCCCCGGGCACAGCUCUGCCAGGUGCUGGGUUGUGAGCUGAGAACACCCGUGAGGCGGCGCCGCCCUGAGGGGACGGGCGGUAACGGCCGGGAGGGGCGCGUGCCCCCGAGAUGACCCCGGUCGCGCGACCUUCAAUUGGAAAGGGCGCGAACGGUGAGGCGGGAAGCGAAAGCGGCGGGAAGGGAAAACGGCGGGAAGGGAGAGCCGCGUUCUGCGCUCCUAUUGGCUGACAGGAGGCGGGGACACCUAUAUAAGGCGCGCGGGGGAAAGAGAUCUCCUCACAGCGUGACAGGAAUCGCAGUGCUCUGAGGGAGAGGCGGCAAGCGGCAUCCUGGGCUGAGGAGCCGCCUCAGAAGACGGAGGGAGCCGCGUGUGGAACCGGGAGGCAGGAAUGCGCAGGAAGAGGAAGCAGUAGACUGUCACUUUUAUAGGAUUUCCUACAGUGUUUUGCAGAUCUGUAAUGUUUCCUAGAAAUAUUAUUUCUUGGUAAUUCACCAGAAUCAUGUAGAUCACUUGGUAGUAAAAGUUAUUUCGUCUUGUCUGUGUCUGAAAC
Long non-coding RNA from Numida meleagris (helmeted guineafowl), 684 nucleotides. RefSeq lists it as uncharacterized. The transcript has 2 exons. The record is from RefSeq and is a predicted model, not a curated record. Lineage: Eukaryota; Metazoa; Chordata; Aves; Galliformes; Numididae.